UACGUAGGGGGCAAGCGUUGUCCGGAAUCAUUGGGCGUAAAGAGCGCGUAGGCGGCCCAGUAAGUCCGCUCUGAAAGUCAGGGGCUCAACCCCUGAAUGCGGGUGGAUACUGCUGGGCUAGAGUACGGUAGAGGGGGAUGGAAUUCCGCGUGUAGCAGUGAAAUGCGUAGAUAUGCGGAGGAACACCGAUGGCGAAGGCAAUCCCCUGGACCUGUACUGACGCUCAUGCACGAAAGCGUGGGGA
Molecule: ribosomal RNA, 244 nt
Filed under: uncultured bacterium
Lineage: Bacteria
Description: partial 16S ribosomal RNA
Rfam family: Bacterial small subunit ribosomal RNA
Source: RNAcentral